GUGCCGGGAAAGUUUGCUUGCAGCGGACUCUUAAUCCGCUUGUCGUAGGUUCGACCCCUGCAGGGCGCACAA
RNAcentral lists this transfer RNA (72 nucleotides) under Methylolobus aquaticus. Its description in RNAcentral is "tRNA-Lys". The record is from RNAcentral. Lineage: Bacteria; Pseudomonadati; Pseudomonadota; Gammaproteobacteria; Methylococcales; Methylococcaceae.